CAGCGCCACGAGUGGCGAUCAUGUUUAUUUGGCCUAAAGCGUCCGUAGCUGGUUGAGUAAAUCUCUUGUGAAAUUGUUCAGCUUAACUGAGCAGCGUGCAGGAGAGACUGCUUAGCUAGGGACCGGGAGGAGUCAGAGGUAUGCUGGGGGGAGCGGUAAAAUGCUAUAAUCCUCGGUAGACCACCUGUGGCGAAGGCGUCUGACUAGAACGGGUCCGACAGUGAGGGACGAAAGCCAGGGGAGCAAACCGGAUUAGAUACCCGAGUAGUCC
This 271-nucleotide ribosomal RNA is filed under the name uncultured archaeon. RNAcentral describes it as "partial 16S ribosomal RNA". It matches the Rfam family "Archaeal small subunit ribosomal RNA", at positions 477 to 747 of the family's 1478-position model. The record is from RNAcentral.